RNAcentral lists this ribosomal RNA (261 nucleotides) under uncultured archaeon. RNAcentral's name for it is "partial 16S ribosomal RNA". It matches the Rfam family "Archaeal small subunit ribosomal RNA", at positions 748 to 1008 of the family's 1478-position model. The record is from RNAcentral.
AGGGUGUAAACGCUGCGGACUUGGUGUUGGAAAUCCUUCGAGGGUAUUCAGUGCCGGAGAGAAGUUGUUAAGUCUGCUACUUGGGGAGUACGUCCGCAAGGAUGAAACUUAAAGGAAUUGGCGGGGGAGCACCGCAACGGGAGGAGCGUGCGGUUUAAUUGGAUUCAACACCGGAAAACUCACCAGGGGAGACUGUUACAUGAAACCCAGACUAAUGAUCUUGGUUGAUUUUCAGAGAGGAGGUGCAUGGCGUCAGUGACU